AUACGGCCAUAUCACGUUGAAACACCAAUUCUCGUACGAUCACCGAAGUUAAGCAACGUUGAGUCUAGAUGGGUGACCGUUUGGGAAUACCAGGUGCUGCAAG
Molecule: non-coding RNA, 103 nt
Organism: Acanthosepion pharaonis
Lineage: Eukaryota; Metazoa; Mollusca; Cephalopoda; Sepiida; Sepiidae
Source: the annotation of a GenBank genome assembly